This 374-nucleotide ribosomal RNA is filed under the name uncultured organism. RNAcentral describes it as "partial 16S ribosomal RNA". It matches the Rfam family "Bacterial small subunit ribosomal RNA", at positions 527 to 896 of the family's 1533-position model. The record is from RNAcentral.
GGAGGGGGCUAGCGUUGUUCGGAUUUACUGGGCGUAAAGGGCGCGUAGGCGGUAUGCCAUGUCAGGGGUGAAAGGCCUGGGCUCAACCCAGGAACUGCCUUUGAAACUGGCAAACUAGAGUCCGAUAGAGGAUGGCGGAAUUCCCAGUGUAGAGGUGAAAUUCGUAGAUAUUGGGAAGAACACCAGUGGCGAAGGCGGCCAUCUGGGUCGGCACUGACGCUGAGGCGCGAAAGCGUGGGGAGCAAACAGGGAUUAGAUACCCUGGUAGUCCACGCCGUAAACGAUGUGUGCUAGACGUUGGGGGGCCCUUAGGCCCCUGGGUGUCGCAGCUAACGCGUUAAGCACACCGCCUGGGGAGUACGGCCGCAAGGUUA